This is a long non-coding RNA of Carassius gibelio (silver crucian carp), 1020 nucleotides long. RefSeq lists it as uncharacterized. Lineage: Eukaryota; Metazoa; Chordata; Actinopteri; Cypriniformes; Cyprinidae. The record is from RefSeq and is a predicted model, not a curated record. The transcript is spliced from 5 exons.
UGUGGAAGCAGAUGUGACAGUCAGUUCAGUUCAGUUCAGUUCAGUUCAGUGUAUCAGCUGCAGAGAAACAAUGGUGCAGUUACACUUCACGAAUGAUACAUUACCCUAUAAUGUCAGCACUGACUUUCUGAUUCUGAAUAAAAUCAGUGAACAGUCAGAGCGGUUCUUGCGUCAGCUUACGGAGUGCAGAACCACUGAGGGCUCUGAUGAAGAGUGUCCACCUCCUACCUCAUGUAACUGUUGGUACAAGUGAACUGUAAAAGACUGAAAACAUCUUUCUACAGGGUGCAGACCACAGACAUCACUGUGUCGUGUAGAUUGGGCUGUGGUGCACAGGGGGAUUUCCUGCAGUAUUUCACCCCAGGCGCUGCAGCCCUAAUCUGGGCAGGACAGACGGCCUGCGCAGGCUGCGUUGAAGGAAGAAGGGCCUCAACUUGUAUGCCUUGAGAAAAUGUGAUCUGCAUCCUGAAUAUUAACACGGGCAGUAAAGAUAUGCAGCUACCACUCACCUCAGUUCCAGCCUCUCUCAUCGCCCUGGCAACCAAGCCAUCCCAUUGCUUCCCCUCCACUAGCACCGGGCUGUCCCAAGGCUGACCCCUCCCCCCUCCCCACAUCCUCGUGCAGUAGUCGGGGGGUAGGGCACAAAAAUACUGCACAGUUUCUGGAGCAUUUUCUUUUGUUACCAUCUCUUCUGAGAGAAUAAUUUUCCUCAGAAUGAGAAUUCAUUCACUCAAUGUCAAUGUGUAUACUGUUGAAAACUAAGAAAUUAGGUAAAACCACAAACAUUUAGCCAUUAGAAGAUUUUGCUCCUUCACAUGGAGCUACUAUUCUGCAAAAAAAAAAAAAAAAAAAUCACCAAUAAUUUGUGCCAAGAGAUGCAAGGUGAAUCAUAUAUAUAUCUUUCUAUAUAUAUCUAUAUAUAUAUUUUGUAUUAUUAUUUUUUUCCCCCCUUUGAUUUUGUGGCAAAUUAUGACCCAGAAAUUAAGAAGCUAACAAAGAAGAAUAAAGUUAUGAGAGCAA